GACGAACGCUGGCGGCGUGCCUAAUACAUGCAAGUCGAACGCUUCUUUUUCCACCGGAGCUUGCUCCACCGGAAAAAGAGAAGUGGCGAACGGGUGAGUAACACGUGGGUAACCUGCCCAUCAGAAGGGGAUAACACUUGGAAACAGGUGCUAAUACCGUAUAACAAUCAAAACCGCAUGGUUUUGAUUUGAAAGGCGCUUUCGGGUGUCGCUGAUGGAUGGACCCGCGGUGCAUUAGCUAGUUGGUGAGGUAACGGCUCACCAAGGCCACGAUGCAUAGCCGACCUGAGAGGGUGAUCGGCCACAUUGGGACUGAGACACGGCCCAAACUCCUACGGGAGGCAGCAGAAGGGAAUCUUCGGCAAUGGACGAAAGUCUGACCGAGCAACGCCGCGUGAGUGAAGAAGGUUUUCGGAUCGUAAAACUCUGUUGUUAGAGAAGAACAAGGAUGAGAGUAACUGUUCAUCCCUUGACGGUAUCUAACCAGAAAGCCACGGCUAACUACGUGCCAGCAGCCGCCGUAA
RNAcentral lists this ribosomal RNA (524 nucleotides) under uncultured bacterium. RNAcentral describes it as "partial 16S ribosomal RNA". It matches the Rfam family "Bacterial small subunit ribosomal RNA", at positions 28 to 523 of the family's 1533-position model. The record is from RNAcentral.